GAUGAACGCUAGCUACAGGCUUAACACAUGCAAGUCGAGGGGAAACGACAUCGAAAGCUUGCUUUUGAUGGGCGUCGACCGGCGCACGGGUGAGUAACGCGUAUCCAACCUGCCCACCACUUGGGGAUAACCUUGCGAAAGUAAGACUAAUACCCAAUGACGUCCAUAGAAGACAUCUGAAGUGGAUUAAAGAUUUAUCGGUGAUGGAUGGGGAUGCGUCUGAUUAGCUUGUUGGCGGGGUAACGGCCCACCAAGGCGACGAUCAGUAGGGGUUCUGAGAGGAAGGUCCCCCCACAUUGGAACUGAGACACGGUCCAAACUCCUACGGGAGGCAGCAGUGAGGAAUCUUCCGCAAUGGACGAAAGUCUGACGGAGCAACGCCGCGUGAACGAUGACGGCCU
Molecule: ribosomal RNA, 401 nt
Filed under: uncultured bacterium
Lineage: Bacteria
Description: bacterial SSU rRNA
Rfam family: Bacterial small subunit ribosomal RNA
Source: RNAcentral